RNAcentral lists this ribosomal RNA (304 nucleotides) under uncultured bacterium. RNAcentral's name for it is "partial 16S ribosomal RNA". It matches the Rfam family "Bacterial small subunit ribosomal RNA", at positions 506 to 807 of the family's 1533-position model. The record is from RNAcentral.
CAGCAGCAGCCGCGGGAAUACAGAGGGUGCGAGCGUUAAUCGGAUUUACUGGGCGUAAAGCGUGCGUAGGCGGCUAAUUGAGUCGGAUGUGAAAUCCCCGAGCUUAACUUGGGAAUUGCAUUCGAUACUGGUUAGCUAGAGUGUGGGAGAGGAUGGUAGAAUUCCAGGUGUAGCGGUGAAAUGCGUAGAGAUCUGGAGGAAUACCGAUGGCGAAGGCAGCCAUCUGGCCUAAUACUGACGCUGAGGUACGAAAGCAUGGGGAGCAAACAGGAUUAGAUACCCGCGUAGUCCCUGUCUCUUAUAC